RNAcentral lists this transfer RNA (63 nucleotides) under Spirobolus grahami. Its description in RNAcentral is "tRNA-Gly". Lineage: Eukaryota; Metazoa; Arthropoda; Diplopoda; Spirobolida; Spirobolidae. The record is from RNAcentral.
AUUAUAUUAGUAUAAAUAGUACCUUUAGCUUCCAACUAAAAAGUUUAACAACUAAAUAUAAUA